UAGUUAUCACUAGAGGCAAGCAUAGGUUAAUUUUUAAAAUUAAUUUUAAAUUUAAAAAAAAUUCCAAAAUAACUCCUUUUUUUUCUUUUUUGAUAGAGUGAAAUUCAUUUGUAUACAGUUGAACAACUGUAUACAAAAUAUCUUUGAGGGAAAUUUCUAGUCAUAUACUUUAGGACUUUGGACUUGGUUCUAUCCUGUUUUGCAUACAGGACUUUGGUGAAAGAUACCCUGCCCCCUAAUUAAAAAGAAUUGAGUUCAAAGUCCUGAUUCCAUUGCUCACUGACCAUGUCAUCAUGGGGCGAGUCAUUUCAUCGUUCUACGAUUCAGUUCUUCAACUACAAUGUUGUGAGCAUUCAUUUCCGGAUCUCAAAGAACCAGCCAUGGAUAGCUCCAGGAUGAGGCCAGAAGCUCUCCCAAGCACAGAGGCUCCUGGAGCAAAGGCCUGUAUGCAUGCCCAAGGAAGGCCUUCUCAAAACUCAGGACCAGAGAAGGGUUCUGAUUCUGUUUUCAAUAGUCUACAUGCAGCAAUCAGGAAAAGAAAAAGAACGCUCCCAACAGAUCAAAGUCAGAACAUCUUAAAAUGGAAAUGAACAUUUAAAAGAGGCCUUUCUCAAGGGAAGCCUUGGCAGUAAAUCAGAGCUUUUGAGAGGCAACUGGGGCCUGUGCUGAUUUUUGAAUAACUCAUCGUUUAAUAAAUGUUCUUUUUUUGUGGCCCUUUGGGGAAAA
RNAcentral lists this long non-coding RNA (726 nucleotides) under Monodelphis domestica (gray short-tailed opossum). RNAcentral describes it as "lncRNA (ENSMODG00000030565.2)". The record is from RNAcentral. Lineage: Eukaryota; Metazoa; Chordata; Mammalia; Didelphimorphia; Didelphidae.